UACGAAGGGUGCAAGCGUUACUCGGAAUUACUGGCGUAAAGCGUGCGUAGGCGGUUUCGUUAAGUCCGUUGAUCGAAAGGCCCUGGGCUCAACCUGGGAAUGGCAGUGGAUACUGGCGAGCGUAGAGUGUUGAUGAGAGGAUAGGUGGAAUUCCCGGUGUAGCGGUGAAAAUGCGUAGAGAAUGCGGAGGAACACCGGACUGGCGAAGGCAGCCCCCCUGGGCUAGCACAUGACGUCGAGGCACGGAAAGCGUGGGGAGCAAACACGG
RNAcentral lists this ribosomal RNA (268 nucleotides) under uncultured bacterium. RNAcentral's name for it is "partial 16S ribosomal RNA". It matches the Rfam family "Bacterial small subunit ribosomal RNA", at positions 524 to 777 of the family's 1533-position model. The record is from RNAcentral.